This 874-nucleotide ribosomal RNA is filed under the name Pseudomonas sp. FBF11. Its description in RNAcentral is "bacterial SSU rRNA". It matches the Rfam family "Bacterial small subunit ribosomal RNA", at positions 56 to 925 of the family's 1533-position model. The record is from RNAcentral. Lineage: Bacteria; Pseudomonadati; Pseudomonadota; Gammaproteobacteria; Pseudomonadales; Pseudomonadaceae.
UGCAAGUCGAGCGGUAGAGAGAAGCUUGCUUCUCUUGAGAGCGGCGGACGGGUGAGUAAAGCCUAGGAAUCUGCCUGGUAGUGGGGGAUAACGUUCGGAAACGGACGCUAAUACCGCAUACGUCCUACGGGAGAAAGCAGGGGACCUUCGGGCCUUGCGCUAUCAGAUGAGCCUAGGUCGGAUUAGCUAGUUGGUGAGGUAAUGGCUCACCAAGGCGACGAUCCGUAACUGGUCUGAGAGGAUGAUCAGUCACACUGGAACUGAGACACGGUCCAGACUCCUACGGGAGGCAGCAGUGGGGAAUAUUGGACAAUGGGCGAAAGCCUGAUCCAGCCAUGCCGCGUGUGUGAAGAAGGUCUUCGGAUUGUAAAGCACUUUAAGUUGGGAGGAAGGGCAGUUACCUAAUACGUGAUUGUUUUGACGUUACCGACAGAAUAAGCACCGGCUAACUCUGUGCCAGCAGCCGCGGUAAUACAGAGGGUGCAAGCGUUAAUCGGAAUUACUGGGCGUAAAGCGCGCGUAGGUGGUUUGUUAAGUUGGAUGUGAAAUCCCCGGGCUCAACCUGGGAACUGCAUUCAAAACUGACUGACUAGAGUGUGGUAGAGGGUGGUGGAAUUUCCUGUGUAGCGGUGAAAUGCGUAGAUAUAGGAAGGAACACCAGUGGCGAAGGCGACCACCUGGACCAACACUGACACUGAGGUGCGAAAGCGUGGGGAGCAAACAGGAUUAGAUACCCUGGUAGUCCACGCCGUAAACGAUGUCAACUAGCCGUUGGGAGCCUUGAGCUCUUAGUGGCGCAGCUAACGCAUUAAGUUGACCGCCUGGGGAGUACGGCCGCAAGGUUAAAACUCAAAUGAAUUGACGGGGGCCCGCA